ACACAUGCAAGUCGAGCGGUAACAGAUCCAGCUUGCUGGAUGCUGACGAGCGGCGGACGGGUGAGUAAUGCAUAGGAAUCUGCCCGAUAGUGGGGGAUAACCUGGGGAAACCCAGGCUAAUACCGCAUACGUCCUACGGGAGAAAGGGGGCUCCGGCUCCCGCUAUGGGAUGAGCCUAUGUCGGAUUAGCUAGUUGGCGAGGUAACGGCUCACCAAGGCGACGAUCCGUAGCUGGUCUGAGAGGAUGAUCAGCCACAUCGGGACUGAGACACGGCCCGAACUCCUACGGGAGGCAGCAGUGGGGAAUAUUGGACAAUGGGCGAAAGCCUGAUCCAGCCAUGCCGCGUGUGUGAAGAAGGCCCUCGGGUCGUAAAGCACUUUCAGCGAGGAAGAACGCCUAGCGGUUAAUACCCGCUAGGAAAGACAUCACUCGCAGAAGAAGCACCGGCUAACUCCGUGCCAGCAGCCGCGGUAAUACGGAGGGUGCAAGCGUUAAUCGGAAUUACUGGGCGUAAAGCGCGCGUAGGUGGCUUGAUAAGCCGGUUGUGAAAGCCCCGGGCUCAACCUGGGAACGGCAUCCGGAACUGUCAAGCUAGAGUGCAGGAGAGGAAGGUAGAAUUCCCGGUGUAGCGGUGAAAUGCGUAGAGAUCGGGAGGAAUACCAGUGGCGAAGGCGGCCUUCUGGACUGACACUGACACUGAGGUGCGAAAGCGUGGG
Molecule: ribosomal RNA, 717 nt
Filed under: uncultured bacterium
Lineage: Bacteria
Description: bacterial SSU rRNA
Rfam family: Bacterial small subunit ribosomal RNA
Source: RNAcentral